CGUUUCUCCGCCGGCGACCGGCGCACCGGGUGAGUAACACGUAUGCAACCUGACCCCUGUCACGGGGGGACAACCCGCCGAAAGGCGGGCUAAACCCGCGUACAUGCCACCGGGGCAUCCCGGAGGCAGGAAAGGCUUCGGCCGGACAGGGAUGGGCAUGCGGCGCAUUAGGCAGUAGGCGGGGUAACGGCCCACCUAACCGACGAUGCGUAGGGGUUCUGAGAGGAAGGUACCCCCACACUGGCACUGAGACACGGACCAGACUCCUACGGAAGGCAGCAG
RNAcentral lists this ribosomal RNA (282 nucleotides) under uncultured bacterium. RNAcentral describes it as "partial 16S ribosomal RNA". It matches the Rfam family "Bacterial small subunit ribosomal RNA", at positions 76 to 354 of the family's 1533-position model. The record is from RNAcentral.